UGGGGAAUAUUGGACAAUGGGCGCAAGCCUGAUCCAGCCAUGCCGCGUGAGUGAUGAAGGCCCUAGGGUUGUAAAGCUCUUUCACCGGUGAAGAUAAUGACGGUAACCGGAGAAGAAGCCCCGGCUAACUUCGUGCCAGCAGCCGCGGUAAUACGAAGGGGGCUAGCGUUGUUCGGAUUUACUGGGCGUAAAGCGCACGUAGGCGGACUAUUAUGUCAGGGGUGAAAUCCCGGGGCUCAACCCCGGAACUGCCUUUGAUACUGGUAGUCUUGAGUUCGAGAGAGGUGAGUGGAAUUCCGAGUGUAGAGGUGAAAUUCGUAGAUAUUCGGAGGAACACCAGUGGCGAAGGCGGCUCACUGGCUCGAUACUGACGCUGAGGUGCGAAAGCGUGGGGAGCAAACAGG
Molecule: ribosomal RNA, 404 nt
Filed under: Actinomycetes bacterium
Lineage: Bacteria; Bacillati; Actinomycetota; Actinomycetes
Description: Actinobacteria bacterium partial 16S ribosomal RNA
Rfam family: Bacterial small subunit ribosomal RNA
Source: RNAcentral